RNAcentral lists this ribosomal RNA (253 nucleotides) under uncultured bacterium. RNAcentral's name for it is "partial 16S ribosomal RNA". It matches the Rfam family "Bacterial small subunit ribosomal RNA", at positions 524 to 776 of the family's 1533-position model. The record is from RNAcentral.
UACGUAGGGACCAAGCGUUGUCCGGAAUCAUUGGGCGUAAAGAGCGUAUAGGCGGCUUGUUAAGUCUUGCGUGAAAUCUCGGGGCUCAACCCCGAGCGGUCGUGAGAAACUGGCAGGCUAGAGUGCGGGAGAGGAGAGUGGAAUUCCUGGUGUAGCGGUGAAAUGCGCAGAUAUCAGGAAGAACACCCGUGGCGAAGGCGGCUCUCUGGAACGCAACUGACGCUGAGACGCGAAAGCGUGGGGAGCAAACAGG